UACGAAGGGUGCAAACGUUGCUCGGAAUUACUGGGCGUAAAGGGCGCGUAGGCGGUACUUCAAGUCAGGCGUGAAAGCCCCGGGCUCAACCUGGGAACCGCGCUUGAGACUGGAGAACUAGAGUUCGGGAGAGGAUGGUGGAAUUCCCAGUGUAGAGGUGAAAUUCGUAGAUAUUGGGAAGAACACCGAUGGCGAAGGCAGCCAUCUGGACCGACACUGACGCUGAGGCGCGAAAGCGUGGGGAGCAAACAGG
This 253-nucleotide ribosomal RNA is filed under the name uncultured bacterium. RNAcentral's name for it is "partial 16S ribosomal RNA". It matches the Rfam family "Bacterial small subunit ribosomal RNA", at positions 524 to 776 of the family's 1533-position model. The record is from RNAcentral.